This 453-nucleotide long non-coding RNA is filed under the name Gallus gallus (chicken). The record is from RNAcentral. Lineage: Eukaryota; Metazoa; Chordata; Aves; Galliformes; Phasianidae.
CAGGAUUUUUCACUAAGCACUUCUUCACGAAAUCUGUGAAUUCAUCAGACCAGAGCUCUGGCUUCCGAAAGGUUGGAGGGGGAUUUGUAGGAAUCAUAAAAAUAGCCCUCAUUGGAUGAAUAUCAGCAUAGGGAGGCUUUCCUUCAGCCAUUUCUAUUGAAGUGAUACCAAGGGACCAGAUGUCUGCCACACAGUUAUAGCCAAUCUCUUGUAUUACUUCUGGAGCCAUCCAAAAUGGAGUUCCUAUAACAGUAUUACGUUUUGCCAUUGUAUCUGUUAACUGGCCAGCCACACCAAAAUCAGCUAAUUUUGCAUGGCCUUCAGUGUUAAGAAGAAUGUUUCCAGCCUUUAUGUCUCUAUGUAUUUUUCUCAUAAAGUGCAAAUAUUCAAGUCCUUUGAGAGUAGAUUUCAGAAUAGUUGCAAUUUCAUCUUCUGUUAGCGUUUUAUUACGAA